This 237-nucleotide long non-coding RNA is filed under the name Elaeis guineensis (African oil palm). Its description in RNAcentral is "long non-coding RNA (EGUI_LNC081109)". The record is from RNAcentral. Lineage: Eukaryota; Viridiplantae; Streptophyta; Magnoliopsida; Arecales; Arecaceae.
GAAGGAGAAUCAGAAGUUCAGAGGAGGUUCUAAGAGGGUGAGGUCAGGUUCUUGAAGAAACUUGAUCGGUAUGAGGCUAGUCGAGUUCUAGGGUCUAGAACUCUUGAAGUAAGGUGAAGAGGAGCGCUGUCUUUGAUUCAAUUUCUGUGUCGAUCACCAUUGAAGGGUGGGCACUUGGUCACCUUGUAAAAAUUGAGAUUAGCACUACAAGUAUUCUUCUUAUCCUAAUUUAUAUUU